Molecule: ribosomal RNA, 250 nt
Filed under: uncultured bacterium
Lineage: Bacteria
Description: partial 16S ribosomal RNA
Rfam family: Bacterial small subunit ribosomal RNA
Source: RNAcentral
UGGGGAAUUUUGGACAAUGGGCGCAAGCCUGAUCCAGCCAUGCCGCGUGCGGGAAGAAGGCCUUCGGGUUGUAAACCGCUUUUGUCAGGGAAGAAAUCCUUUGAGUUAAUACCUCGGGGGAUGACGGUACCUGAAGAAUAAGCACCGGCUAACUACGUGCCAGCAGCCGCGGUAAUACGUAGGGUGCGAGCGUUAAUCGGAAUUACUGGGCGUAAAGCGUGCGCAGGCGGUCUUGCAAGACAGGUGUGAA